This 95-nucleotide transfer RNA is filed under the name Trametes pubescens. It matches the Rfam family "tRNA". Rfam says of the family: Transfer RNA (tRNA) molecules are approximately 80 nucleotides in length. Lineage: Eukaryota; Fungi; Basidiomycota; Agaricomycetes; Polyporales; Polyporaceae. The record is from Rfam by way of RNAcentral.
GGCGAGAUGGCCGAGCGGUCUAAGGCGCCAGACUAAGGAGCAUAUGCUACGAUAUCUGGUCCGAAAGGGCGUGGGUUCGAAUCCCACUCUCGUCA